Molecule: long non-coding RNA, 269 nt
Organism: Populus nigra (black poplar)
Lineage: Eukaryota; Viridiplantae; Streptophyta; Magnoliopsida; Malpighiales; Salicaceae
Exons: 3
Source: RefSeq, a predicted model, not a curated record
ACUGGACAUGCAAAAGGUGCUAAUUGGCAAGAGGAGAUCUAUCAGAAGAUCAAAGUUAUGAAGGAGACUUAUUUCCCUGAAAUAAAUGAAAUGUACCAGAGAAUUGCUGCCAAGUUACAGCAGCUUGACUCUCUUCCGCAACAACCGAAGUCAGAACAGCUUGAAAAGCUGGAGGUAUUCAAGGCCAAGUUGGAGCGCUUGAUAACAUGCUUACAAGUCUCUAAAAACAACAUCACACCUAGUUUCAAGGAGAAAUUGGGUUCCAAUGA